Long non-coding RNA from Esox lucius (northern pike), 2286 nucleotides. Lineage: Eukaryota; Metazoa; Chordata; Actinopteri; Esociformes; Esocidae. The record is from Ensembl.
CGUUGAUUCCCACUGCUCAUGACUUUUCAUGAAAAAAUUAUAUGGAUCUGAUUGGCAUGUAAAGAUACCCACACAGGUAUCUCGGUAUGAUUUGAAAAUGUGUUGACGACUCCUUAACCAAACGUAGCAGACGAAAGCCAAUCAAUGGCUACCAGGGGCGGAGAGUGGCUUGUCUGUCAGGUCGGCGCUAUAAUGAAUUGAAUAGGGAGGGAGGGGGAGAAUCCAAUCCGGUUUGAGCUAGUUUUUGUUCCAAUCGAACAUUAACGUCUUGCUAGGCUGUAAUAGAACGUACUGUUUGAAUCUUAUACCGAACAUACUGUAUUUUCUUUCUCGGUUUUGGAAGAUUUCCCUGUUUUUUUCUUUACACGAAACAGCCAUGCCUAAAAGGAGCAAAGCAAAUGCUGAUUCUGAGGCAGCAGAGCCCAAGAGAAGAUCUGAGCGAUUGGUUAACAAACCGGCUACUCCAAAGGCAGAGCCCAAGCCAAAGACGCUUAUGUUAAACACAUCUUUACAGAAGGAGAAGGCAGCACCUAAGCCCAAGAAGGCUAAAGAGGUGAAGAAGACUGAGCCUGAGGAGAAGGAGGAGGUGCCCGCAGAGAAUGGGGAAGCCAAAGCUGAGGAUGAGGUGCAUUUCAAAUCAAAAGUGUAUAUGGCUGACUGUUAAACAUAUAAUAUAUUCAUUAACUCUUGUGACAUAUGUUUCAGGCACCAGCCACAGAUGAACCUGAACAGAAAGAUGAUGAAGAGGAGGCAGCAGAAUAACAUCUCUCAAACCACAUCUUUUAUCAGUGCUCCCUGUACCUCUUUUUCUUGUACAAUUCAGGGGAAUAUUUUUAUCGACUUUUCUAAAUGCAGGUUUUUUAGUAGUUUGAUUGUAGAAACAUUUUUUUAUGAAACAAAAUAAAUUUGGAGACAGGGAUUUCAAUGCAUCCCGCAUUUUUACAUCUCCGGAACAAUUAUGGUCAUUGUAAAUUGUCAAAUGUUUUUAUUUUCAAUGUAGGGGAAAGAAGGGGUGGGACAGGUUGCUGUAUCAAGAACAUGCAAUCACGUCGUUUACAGGAUCCGGUUGAAACAACAGAGCUUGCCUAAAAAGAGACUAACAUUCCAUAGGCUAUAUGAGGGACGGUAUAUGUAACCUGCAUUGUGUGGUGGGGAGGGGAUGAAUAACUGAACACAUUGUUGUAUUGUUUAUAAUGAGGAAAUGCGUUUUAGAAUGUUUGUAAGCUGUGUUCCACAUGUUAACUCUUGUACUCAUGGCAACUUUUUUUUGCUUUUUUUUUUUUUUUUUCGAACCAUUCUGCUUAAUAAACCUUUUCUCUAGUACUGGAGUUUCUCCCUAUCAGGCCUGUGCAUUGCGCGUAAUUGGUUUUGUCUUUGUUUUGUGAUAGCAUUGCAAUACAUUUGUAUAGAUGCUGUUAAAAAGGGUUUUCAAACAUUAUAUGCAGUGUGUACACUGUGAGGAUGGUAAAAAUGGAAUUCUGUGUUUUUAGCAAAGCUAAUGACAUGCAUAACAGUGUGAUACAAACAGUGGAUUAUAGUUCCUUGAAUGCAGAGACUGUGCGUCCACUGGAGCUGUCAAAUACACACACCAGCAGUAGCAAUAUUCAUAUGCGUUUUAGGUAUCAAGUUCAAGUGUACAGUUUCUUUUAUUUGUUUAUAGAUGUAUCUGUGUAAUGAUUGGUAUAAACCAAUAAAAUGUGGUUAUAAUUGUUGUCUAAUUGUGUUAUGAAAAUAAUGUGUGAAUCCAAACCCUCUAGUUAGAAGUAGAUAGAAUUUUAGAAGCUACUUGAUUGGAAAGUUAAAAAAUACACAGCAGUAACAAAGAACAUUGCAAUUGUGACUGGGAUGUCAACUGUUGUUCAAAGAAACAAACUAGAUAAUCCUAUAUAAUGGAAUUAAAUGAGGGAGAAAAAUUGAUGUCUCCUCUGUACUUUGAAUUCAAGCUAUAUAUUGUACAGUGUGAGCUAAGAAUAUAGAAUUAUAGAAUCUGAGUAGCAAGGUGAUAAGUCAAUUCCUCCUUACUAUCUGGAUAAUAAGGAAAAGUUGAAUGUGUGAUUACAGAUAUUGUGUUACAGACCUAAUUGCCUCUUCCCCUGAAAACCAUAAUGUACACUUGUCAAGGAAAGGGCUGAUGGCAACAACUACAAUUUGUCCUUUGAAAAAACUGGUUUCACUUUACGGACCAAUGGAAUGGUUUAAAGUCUGCCUAAUUGGGACAUGCAAACUACUCACUACUUUAGUUAUUCCAACGAGUAUUCACUCGCAUUGGAUUUCCCACUGAUCAAC